AGCUCGUAGGUGGUUUGUCGCGUUGUUCGUGAAAUCUCACGGCUUAACUGUGAGCGUGCGGGCGAUACGGGCAGACUUGAGUACUGCAGGGGAGACUGGAAUUCCUGGUGUAGCGGUGGAAUGCGCAGAUAUCAGGAGGAACACCGGUGGCGAAGGCGGGUCUCUGGGCAGUAACUGUCGCUGAGGAGCGAAAGCGUGGGGAGCGAACAGGAUUAGAUACCCUGGUAGUCCACGCCGUAAACGGUGGGUACUAGGUGUGGGUUUCCUUCCUUGGGAUCCGUGCCGUAGCUAACGCAUUAAGUACCCCGCCUGGGGAGUACGGCCGCAGGGCUAAAACUCAAAGAAAUUGACGGGGGCCCGCACAAGCGGCGGAGCAUGUGGAUUAAUUCGAUGCAACGCGAAGAACCUUACCUGGGUUUGACAUGCACAGGACGCCGGCAGAGAUGUCGGUUCCCUUGUGGCCUGUGUGCAGGUGGUGCAUGGCUGUCGUCAGCUCGUGUCGUGAGAUGUUGGGUUAAGUCCCGCAACGAGCGCAACCCUUGUCUCAUGUUGCCAGCGGGUAAUGCCGGGGACUCGUGAGAGACUGCCGGGGUCAACUCGGAGGAAGGUGGGGAUGACGUCAAGUCAUCAUGCCCCUUAUGUCCAGGGCUUCACACAUGCUACAAUGGCCGGUACAAAGGGCUGCGAUGCCGCGAGGUUAAGCGAAUCCUUUUAAAGCCGGUCUCAGUUCGGAUCGGGGUCUGCAACUCGACCCCGUGAAGUCGGAGUCGCUAGUAA
Molecule: ribosomal RNA, 777 nt
Filed under: uncultured Mycobacterium sp.
Lineage: Bacteria; Bacillati; Actinomycetota; Actinomycetes; Mycobacteriales; Mycobacteriaceae
Description: bacterial SSU rRNA
Rfam family: Bacterial small subunit ribosomal RNA
Source: RNAcentral